ACAAAAGCCUUGCCGUACUUUUCAGAAGCUCAAAACCUUAAUAAUUUUUUCCAAAACCUUAAUCAUCUGCCUCUCCACCCUUUCUCGCCUGCCUUUCUAUCUUUUGUCGAUUUCAAUCUUUCACUUACUCUUUUGAAUUGUACCUUUAUCAUAUUUGCUUAAUUAAUUACCUAAUCUAUGAUCGACAGAAUCAUAUGUGUACUUUUUAAUGUUGUAUCUUAUUGGUUGCAGAUCCACUGAUAAUCAAGGAAUGCGUCAAUAAGUUGACGCAGGUGAAUCAUGUUUGUUUCCAGUUACAAUCCUAAUAAAUGUAAUGGAUGUGAAGUGGUCACAGAGAGGGGGAGCUGGUGUUCGGAAUGACGUUGGUAAGGAAAUCAACUUUCAAGAUAACAUUAAUGAGAUUAAAGCCAAUCCUGUACGGUUGAAAAGGGAUUUAGGACUCUAGAAGAAGUGUCAAUGCCGAAAUGGCAUCAAGAAGCAUAACACGCAGAAACUCCCUCCACUUCAGAGCUUGCAUCAGACUAACACUGAAUCAUAGAUAGCUUAGUACAAGUUCCAAGACUGGUGAGGAUAUCUGGUUAAAUUUAUACUACCUUCAAAGAGAAUUACCCAUCAUAAUUUAUAGUACCUUUCAAAAUAAGGUAUUUCUGUAUCCAAUGUAUUAAAAGUGUCGCUGAUGAAAGCAGAAAGGACAUGGUGUUGGUUGUUGUAGGCUUCAACCAACACCAUCUCCCAAUCAGUGAAUGGUCCAACGCCGUUGGUUGUGGUGGACUUGAGACCUCUCAUCGGAGUUCCUUCCAUCUUCAGUAUUGAUGGAAGAGAAAAAAAAAUCAAAGGUGUCAUUGUCUUGUAUGGGACACCCCUCCACUUUCAACUUGCAAGACGGCCUUCCUAAAGUCGUUGUGAGAGCUUGCGUCAAGGAUCUGAUGUGACGAGCAUGGAUUUUUAUCCAGAGGAAAGGCUCAUGUAUCUCCCAAUCUAGGUAGGACCUGCUCCUCUUGUGAAAGCUGAGGUGCCAUGGUCGGUUCGAAGGGAAAAUCUCUCCGAGAAAGAACGUGUACUGAAGACGCUGAAAGGUAUAUUCAACAAGCUGACACCGGAGAAGUUUGACCUCCUUAAAGGCCAACUGAUUGAUUCUGGGAUCACAACCCAGGACAUUUUACAGAUUACUAAGUUCUGCUGCUAGAUAAUUUUCACACUCUCUUCAACCUGUUCAGGAAAACAAAGGAGUAGAAAUUCUUUGUUAUGACAAUGAUCAUUAGUACUGGGCUGAAGGCGUGGAAUGUAAUGAACUAUUAGUAGUUGUCAGAGAUUUGUUUACCAAUUAAAUCUUCAUGACCUCGUAUUUGUUGAGCAUAAACUCAGUAGUUUUAGGAGAUUUACUUUCAUUGUUUUCUCUUUUUCUAAAAUUUAAAAUCGGUGAGUGAAAAUGUGACAGCAUCAAAAAUUCAGCAACUGAAAUUCGAAACUAUUAUGAACUUGUUUUGUUUGU
Long non-coding RNA from Papaver somniferum (opium poppy), 1492 nucleotides. RefSeq lists it as uncharacterized. The transcript has 8 exons. NCBI's taxonomy places the organism in Eukaryota, Viridiplantae, Streptophyta, Magnoliopsida, Ranunculales, Papaveraceae. The record is from RefSeq and is a predicted model, not a curated record.